This is an unclassified non-coding RNA of Macaca mulatta (Rhesus monkey), 146 nucleotides long. It matches the Rfam family "Metazoan signal recognition particle RNA". Rfam says of the family: The signal recognition particle (SRP) is a universally conserved ribonucleoprotein. It is involved in the co-translational targeting of proteins to membranes. The record is from Ensembl. Lineage: Eukaryota; Metazoa; Chordata; Mammalia; Primates; Cercopithecidae.
GCUGGGCAUGGUGGUGCAUGCCUGUAAUCCCAGCUGCUUGGGAGGCUGAGGCAGGAGAAUCACUUGAACCCAGGAGGCUGAGAUUGCAGUGAGCCAAGAUCACACCAUUGCACUCCAGCCUGGGUGACAGUGAGACUCUGUCUCAA